This 1156-nucleotide ribosomal RNA is filed under the name Latilactobacillus sakei. RNAcentral describes it as "bacterial SSU rRNA". It matches the Rfam family "Bacterial small subunit ribosomal RNA", at positions 313 to 1461 of the family's 1533-position model. Lineage: Bacteria; Bacillati; Bacillota; Bacilli; Lactobacillales; Lactobacillaceae. The record is from RNAcentral.
CUGGGACUGAGACCCGGCCCAGACUCCUACGGGAGGCAGCAGUAGGGAAUUCUCCACAAUGGACGAAAGUCUGAUGGAGCAACGCCGCGUGAGUGAAGAAGGUUUUCGGAUCGUAAAACUCUGUGUUGGAGAAGAAUGUAUCUGAUAGUAACUGAUCAGGUAGUGACGGUAUCCAACCAGAAAGCCACGGCUAACUACGUGCCAGCAGCCGCGGUAAUACGUAGGUGGCAAGCGUUGUCCGGAUUUAUUGGGCGUAAAGCGAGCGCAGGCGGUUUCUUAAGUCUGAUGUGAAAGCCUUCGGCUCAACCGAAGAAGUGCAUCGGAAACUGGGAAACUUGAGUGCAGAAGAGGACAGUGGAACUCCAUGUGUAGCGGUGAAAUGCGUAGAUAUAUGGAAGAACACCAGUGGCGAAGGCGGCUGUCUGGUCUGUAACUGACGCUGAGGCUCGAAAGCAUGGGUAGCAAACAGGAUUAGAUACCCUGGUAGUCCAUGCCGUAAACGAUGAGUGCUAGGUGUUGGAGGGUUUCCGCCCUUCAGUGCCGCAGCUAACGCAUUAAGCACUCCGCCUGGGGAGUACGACCGCAAGGUUGAAACUCAAAGGAAUUGACGGGGGCCCGCACAAGCGGUGGAGCAUGUGGUUUAAUUCGAAGCAACGCGAAGAACCUUACCAGGUCUUGACAUCCUUUGACCACUCUAGAGAUAGAGCUUUCCCUUCGGGGACAAAGUGACAGGUGGUGCAUGGUUGUCGUCAGCUCGUGUCGUGAGAUGUUGGGUUAAGUCCCGCAACGAGCGCAACCCUUAUUACUAGUUGCCAGCAUUUAGUUGGGCACUCUAGUGAGACUGCCGGUGACAAACCGGAGGAAGGUGGGGACGACGUCAAAUCAUCAUGCCCCUUAUGACCUGGGCUACACACGUGCUACAAUGGAUGGUACAACGAGUUGCGAGACCGCGAGGUUUAGCUAAUCUCUUAAAACCAUUCUCAGUUCGGAUUGUAGGCUGCAACUCGCCUACAUGAAGCCGGAAUCGCUAGUAAUCGCGGAUCAGCAUGCCGCGGUGAAUACGUUCCCGGGCCUUGUACACACCGCCCGUCACACCAUGAGAGUUUGUAACACCCAAAGCCGGUGAGGUAACCCUUCGGGGAGCCAGCCGUCUAAG